GACAUCAGUGGCUGGGGCAGCUAUCUUGAGCUGGAGUUGCCCAGCCUGGCCAAUAGCUGGAAAAGUCUCUUUGGAGAUUUGGACCCAUUUCUGAAAACCAGUUUGCCUUGGACUCCUACCCCCACCCAGAGCCCUCCAUAUCCAUUUAACCCAAAUCCCCAACUCCAGGGAUGAUUACAGGUUGGGGGAGCCCCGAGAGCAAGGGAGGUGAGGAAACUGAUGUCCGGAAAGCAGCAGGCAUCAGCGGAGACACUCCUAGCCCUGCUGCCUUCUCACUGCACACACUUCCAGAUUCAGAAAAACCAGAAAGGAAACCCACCAUGCAGGACUGUCCAUGCGGUGGCUCUUCCUGUGGCCUCAUUUCUAAGCGUUUCCAAGGACCUCACCAUAGUCCAGGACCACAAGCCAAGGCUACCCCAGUGUCCUUACCAUCCUGGGAAUGGGAGGAGCCAGGCCCAGCUUUGUCCUGUCUGCCCCCCUGGAAGCCUUCCCUGAGCGCUGGCCUCUUAUUUACCUGUCUUUGUCUCUGGCUUGUUGGUCCCUGUCUCUUGUCUGAUUAGGAAACCCCUGAGGUCAGAAUCUUUGCCUCCCCAAUCAGAUUGUCAGGCAGGAGUGGGGGGCAGAUGCGGGGUCAUUUCUACAUGUGAGACCAAAUAGUGGUCCUGUUUAAGUUGAUCCCCUUGAAAGAAAAUUCUGGAAAAGCUCCUCAGAUGCACAGAUACACAGAAUCAGACCUUGGGCAAAGGGUGUAGUUGUGCUUUUGAAGCUGUGCAACCUUGGACAGAAUACUUGACUUCUCUGUGCCUCAGUUUCCUAAUCUGUGAAGUGGGGUUAGUCAUGUAUCGAUACCUUCCCCAUGAGGUUGAUGGGAGGAUUGAGUUAAUAUAAAGCAUUUCAGACAGUGCCAG
Long non-coding RNA from Rhinopithecus roxellana (golden snub-nosed monkey), 908 nucleotides. RefSeq lists it as uncharacterized. Lineage: Eukaryota; Metazoa; Chordata; Mammalia; Primates; Cercopithecidae. The record is from RefSeq and is a predicted model, not a curated record. The transcript is spliced from 3 exons.